GUAGUUAGCCGGGGCUUCCUCUUUGGCUACCGUCAUUUUUUCGUCACUAAGAACAGAGGUUUACAAUCCGAAAACCUUCAUCCCUCACGCGGCGUUGCUGGGUCAGGCUUUCGCCCAUUGCCCAAUAUUCCCCACUGCUGCCUCCCGUAGGAGUCUGGACCGUGUCUCAGUUCCAGUGUGGCCGAUCAGCCUCUCAGCUCGGCUACCCAUCGUCGACUUGGUGGGCCGUUACCCCGCCAACUAUCUAAUGGGACGCGAGCCCCUCCUUCAGCGAAUUGCUCCUUUGACCCCUCUACCAUGCGGUAGCGUGGUCUCAUGCGGUAUUAGCAGUAAUUUCUCACUGUUAUCCCCCUCUGAAGGACAGGUUGCUCACGCGUUACUCACCCGUUCGCCACUAACUCAAGGAGCAAGCUCCUCUCGUCCGUUCGACUUGCAUGUGUUAGGCACGCCGCCAGCGUUCGUCCUGAGCACUAUACAACUACUGA
RNAcentral lists this ribosomal RNA (485 nucleotides) under uncultured bacterium. RNAcentral's name for it is "partial 16S ribosomal RNA". The record is from RNAcentral.